RNAcentral lists this transfer RNA (71 nucleotides) under Loxodonta africana (African savanna elephant). It matches the Rfam family "tRNA". Rfam says of the family: Transfer RNA (tRNA) molecules are approximately 80 nucleotides in length. Their secondary structure includes four short double-helical elements and three loops (D, anti-codon, and T loops). The record is from Rfam by way of RNAcentral. Lineage: Eukaryota; Metazoa; Chordata; Mammalia; Proboscidea; Elephantidae.
GCAUUGGUGGUUCAGUAGUAGAAUUCUCACCUUCCAAGUGGGAGACCUGAAUUUGAUCUCUGGAAAAUGCA